Molecule: long non-coding RNA, 1498 nt
Filed under: Homo sapiens (human)
Lineage: Eukaryota; Metazoa; Chordata; Mammalia; Primates; Hominidae
Description: HSALNT0057096
Source: RNAcentral
GUGAUCCGCCCGCCUCGGCCUCCCAAAGUGCUGGGAUUAUAGGAGAUAGCCACUGCGCCUGGCCAAAAAUUAAGUUUGGAUACGUGGGCAUAAAACAGAGGUCUAAGUAAGUACAGGAUAAAGAGAAAGCCUACUUAGUAGAUGAUUGUACCAAACAAUGUGUGAAAGUGAGUGGAUCAAACUAGGUGGCGAUGAAUGGCAGAUUAUGAAAUCUGGAUUUUAUUUUGGAGGUAAUGCAACACCACUGAAAGUUCUGCACAUGAAAGUUGUACUUUAAGAAAAUUUUAAUGUCAUAAAUAGGCAACAAAUAUUAAAGCAGAGAAAUAAGAUUAAAAUUAGUGAAAGGUUAGGUAAAGAGAACCUAACAGCAGCAGCAGAAACAGAAAACACUACAGAUACGCUACAUCCAGAUGUGGCAAGAAAUUGAACAUAUGAAACAAAGACUGUCUCUGACACUAAAAGCACAAUGGUGUCAUAAACAGGAGGGGAAAAAGACUAGAGAUUGUGGUGAGUUCAAGAGAUUUGAUAUAAAUUGUUACAUAUGUUACCCAAUUAUCUUUAUGAAAUAUUGUUUUACAUGAAUAUUCUGUAUUUUUCUCCAAGAUGUUAUAAAUCACUAAAUAAGCAAUUCGAGAUAUAAUUACAAGUAGAAUACAAUAUGAAAUAAUACUCCUACUCUGCAUUUAGACAAGCAAUAUAGAUUAAAGGAAUCUUUGUUUUGGAAAUAAAUGCCAGCAAAUGAAAACCUUCACAUUGAAGAUAAUCAGUCAAAAAGUAUUCCUCAAAACCCUACUACAUAUGAGGAAAUAUAGUGUAGUCACAGUAUUUAUCGCAUACUUUGAUAGCCUAGGAAGUUAUUCAAUCCUGUUUUCAGGUAAAAGAGGGAUAAUCGCAUCUAUCUCAUGUAGCUGCUCACAAGAUUGAAUGAGUAAAUACAUGCAAUGUAUAUGGAAUAGUAACUGGCAUGUAAUAAGCACCCCAAAUUUGACUUAUCCUGUGCAAGGCACUGGGAAAAAGAAGACUGCAAAACAAGUAGUUCUGGAGUUUCUGGUUUUAUAUACCACAGUAAAUAUUACAUUUAAUUUCAAUAUUUACAUCUUACUGAAAGGCUACUGGAAAGGUUCAGACUAGAAAAAUAAAGCUAAAAGCAUUUAGCACAUUCAAACAAUUUGGAAACUUUUGUUUCCAAUUCUAAAUAAAGUGGCCUGUCAAAAUAUCCUGUAUUUUGUAUUGAUAAAAUCUAUAUGGCGCCAGGCAUGGUGGCUCACACCUGUAAUCCCAGAAAUUUGGGAGGCCAAGGCGGGCAGAACACGAGGUCAGGAAAUCGAGACCAUCCUGGCUAACACGGUGAAACCCCGUCUCUAUUAAAAAUACAAAAAAAAUUAGCCAGGCAUGGCGGCACGCACCUGUAGACCCAGCUACUCGGGAGCCUGAGGCAGAAGAAUCACUUGAACCCGGGAGACAGAGGUUGUAGUGAGCCGAGAUUGUGCCACUGCAC